This 475-nucleotide ribosomal RNA is filed under the name uncultured bacterium. RNAcentral describes it as "bacterial SSU rRNA". It matches the Rfam family "Bacterial small subunit ribosomal RNA", at positions 328 to 793 of the family's 1533-position model. The record is from RNAcentral.
CUCUGUGACUCCUACGGGGAGGCAGCAGUGGGGAAUAUUGCACAAUGGGGGAAACCCUGAUGCAGCCAUGCCGCGUGUGUGAAGAAGGCCUUCGGGUUGUAAAGCACUUUCAGUAGGGAGGAAGGUAGUGUAGUUAACACCUGCAUUAUUUGACGUUACCUACAGAAGAAGCACCGGCUAACUCCGUGCCAGCAGCCGCGGUAAUACGGAGGGUGCGAGCGUUAAUCGGAAUUACUGGGCGUAAAGCGCAUGCAGGCGGCCUGUUAAGUCAGAUGUGAAAGCCCGGGGCUUAACCUCGGAAUUGCAUUUGAAACUGGCAGGCUAGAGUCUUGUAGAGGGGGGUAGGAAUUUCAGGUGUAGCGGUGAAAUGCGUAGAGAUCUGAAGGAAUACCAGUGGCGAAGGCGGCCCCCUGGACAAAGACUGACGCUCAGAUGCGAAAGCGUGGGGAGCAAACAGGAUUAGAUACCCUGGUAG